ACACUCACCACACAUACACACACACGCCGCACACACACACACACACAUACCCUCUCGGUCCUCUCUCUCCCUCUUCGAUUCCGGCUAAAGUCCGGCGAGACCACGACGGCCGGCCACCACCUACGGUGGUCCGGCGACGACGACUCACGGCGGCGGAAGGGUUUCCGGCGAGUUUUCACGGCGGACUUGGGGUGUACCCCCCUUAAAUCGACCCUUCUGAGUACGUUUCCGGUGACGGUUUUCUCAUCGGAACAACGGAAGUGUUGUUUUCAUCUUUGGCAGCCACGUUGUUCGAGCCUCCUUCUCCGGUAAGCUCCUAACCUGGUCCUUCUCUUUCUUUUAGACCCCAUUCUUCUCCGAUUCGUGCUUUUGCAGGUACGACAGUGGAGAUGGUCGGGUCUGGUUUAAUCUUCGCUGGGAAUCGGGGUGGUCGGCUCUGCCGACGGCACGGGGUACGGCCGACAACAGCAACCACACCAGCGACGACGGCGGUGAAGGUGGUGGUUAGUUCCGAUGUUUGGUUCUCGGGUCCGUUCGAGUCUCGGUUCAGUUUCUGACAAGCGAUUCUGGUGCAGGCUCGUUACAAUGGUGGUGACUCCGACUCGAGUGGUGGUUUGGUUCAGUUUAGGUCUUGGUGUAACUCGGUUCGGUUCCGACUCGAGUUGACCGGUCGAAGCUGGCCAACAGUUGUGUCGAGUCAUGUUCCGGUCCAGUUUUGAUGUUCGGUUCAGUGUUAUGGUUCAGUUUUGGUGUCUCGGGUCAAACUCGGUCGAUUCUGGUCAACUAUCGAGACGACACAAGCUUUGGGUGACCUCGGUGUUCCAUCCUCCUAAACUCGUCAACUCGUCGUACUUGGAUAAUCGGAAGACUUAGCAAUAUUGUUGAUGAGGAUGAUGC
Molecule: long non-coding RNA, 897 nt
Organism: Helianthus annuus (common sunflower)
Lineage: Eukaryota; Viridiplantae; Streptophyta; Magnoliopsida; Asterales; Asteraceae
Exons: 4
Source: RefSeq, a predicted model, not a curated record